AACUAUGAUAACUCUGUAGGUAUUGAUUCGAUUAAGACGAAUAUCUGAACUGAUUAUGAAAGCCCUUUUACGAGUGAUUAGCCUUAUUCUCAUUAGCGUGGUGGUGAUUAUUCUCCCAUCCUGCGGGGCUACGUUCGGAAGAGAAAAGGCUUAAAAAUCAAGUCGUAAUCUAAAGAAAACCCCCGCACUUAAAAGUUCGGGGGUUUUUUUUUGGUCCAAACACAACAAAAUAAUAAAAUAUGAGGCAACAGAGUUUUUAGCAUAAAAUUCUGUAUAACCCAAAAAAG
This is a regulatory RNA element of 287 nucleotides. It matches the Rfam family "Soft rot Enterobacteriaceae Rev 39 5'UTR". Rfam says of the family: From bacteria cultured under starvation conditions. The record is from Rfam.